GACGAACGCUGGCGGCGUGCUUAACACAUGCAAGUCGAACGGUAAGGCUCCAGCUUGCUGGGGUACACGAGUGGCGAACGGGUGAGUAACACGUGGGUGACCUGCCCUGCACUUCGGGAUAAGCCUGGGAAACUGGGUCUAAUACCGGAUAGGACCAUGGUGUGGAUACUGUGGUGGAAAGUUUUUUCGGUGUGGGAUGGGCCCGCGGCCUAUCAGCUUGUUGGUGGGGUAAUGGCCUACCAAGGCGGCGACGGGUAGCCGGCCUGAGAGGGUGGACGGCCACAUUGGGACUGAGACACGGCCCAGACUCCUACGGGAGGGAGCAGUGGGGAAUAUUGCACAAUGGGCGGAAGCCUGAUGCAGCGACGCCGCGUGGGGGAUGACGGCCUUCGGGUUGUAAACUCCUUUCACCAUCGACGAAGGGUUUCUGACGGUAGAUGGAGAAGAAGCACCGGCUAACUACGUG
Molecule: ribosomal RNA, 466 nt
Filed under: uncultured bacterium
Lineage: Bacteria
Description: partial 16S ribosomal RNA
Rfam family: Bacterial small subunit ribosomal RNA
Source: RNAcentral